Molecule: transfer RNA, 71 nt
Filed under: uncultured Succinivibrio sp.
Lineage: Bacteria; Pseudomonadati; Pseudomonadota; Gammaproteobacteria; Aeromonadales; Succinivibrionaceae
Rfam family: tRNA
About the family: Transfer RNA (tRNA) molecules are approximately 80 nucleotides in length.
Source: RNAcentral
GGGAAUUAGCUCAGUUGGUAGAGCAUCUGCUUUGCAAGCAGGGGGUCAUCGGUUCGAAUCCGUUAUUCUCC